RNAcentral lists this ribosomal RNA (102 nucleotides) under uncultured archaeon. RNAcentral describes it as "partial 16S ribosomal RNA". It matches the Rfam family "Archaeal small subunit ribosomal RNA", at positions 321 to 428 of the family's 1478-position model. The record is from RNAcentral.
CCCUACGGGGCGCAGCAGGCGCGAAAACUUUACAAUGUGCGAAAGCGCGAUAAGGGAACUCUGAGUGCCUCCUAAGGAGGCUGUUCAGGUGUCUAAAAAGCA